UGCCCUAUAGCUCAACGGUUGAGCAGCCCGCUGUUAACGGGAAGGUUAUAGGUUCGAAUCCUAUUGGGGCAGCCA
Molecule: transfer RNA, 75 nt
Filed under: Oscillatoria sp. FACHB-1407
Lineage: Bacteria; Bacillati; Cyanobacteriota; Cyanophyceae; Oscillatoriales; Oscillatoriaceae
Description: tRNA-Asn
Rfam family: tRNA
About the family: Transfer RNA (tRNA) molecules are approximately 80 nucleotides in length. Their secondary structure includes four short double-helical elements and three loops (D, anti-codon, and T loops).
Source: RNAcentral